This 529-nucleotide ribosomal RNA is filed under the name Shewanella putrefaciens. Its description in RNAcentral is "bacterial SSU rRNA". It matches the Rfam family "Bacterial small subunit ribosomal RNA", at positions 81 to 605 of the family's 1533-position model. Lineage: Bacteria; Pseudomonadati; Pseudomonadota; Gammaproteobacteria; Alteromonadales; Shewanellaceae. The record is from RNAcentral.
UUCGGAGGUGGCGAGUGGCGGUACGGGUGAGUAAUGCCUAGGGAUCUGCCCAGUCGAGGGGGAUAACAGUUGGAAACGACUGCUAAUACCGCAUACGCCCUACGGGGGAAAGGAGGGGACCUUCGGGCCUUCCGCGAUUGGAUGAACCUAGGUGGGAUUAGCUAGUUGGUGAGGUAAUGGCUCACCAAGGCGACGAUCCCUAGCUGUUCUGAGAGGAUGAUCAGCCACACUGGGACUGAGACACGGCCCAGACUCCUACGGGAGGCAGCAGUGGGGAAUAUUGCACAAUGGGGGAAACCCUGAUGCAGCCAUGCCGCGUGUGUGAAGAAGGCCUUCGGGUUGUAAAGCACUUUCAGUAGGGAGGAAAGGUUGCAGUUUAAUAAACUGUAGCUGUGACGUUACCUACAGAAGAAGGACCGGCUAACUCCGUGCCAGCAGCCGCGGUAAUACGGAGGGUCCGAGCGUUAAUCGGAAUUACUGGGCGUAAAGCGUGCGCAGGCGGUUUGUUAAGCGAGAUGUGAAAGCCCUG